UACAGAGGGUGCGAGCGUUGUCCGGAAUCACUGGGCGUAAAGGGCGCGUAGGCGGCCUGGUAAGUACGGGGUGAAAUCUCACGGCUCAACCGUGAGGCUGCCUCGUAGACUGCCGGACUUGAGCGGAGCAGAGGCUAGCGGAAUUCCCGGUGUAGCGGUGGAAUGCGUAGAGAUCGGGAAGAACAUCGGUGGCGAAGGCGGCUAGCUGGGCUCUUGCUGACGCUGAUGCGCGACAGCGUGGGGAGCAAACAGG
Molecule: ribosomal RNA, 253 nt
Filed under: uncultured bacterium
Lineage: Bacteria
Description: partial 16S ribosomal RNA
Rfam family: Bacterial small subunit ribosomal RNA
Source: RNAcentral